AUUGAACGCUGGCGGCAUGCCUUACACAUGCAAGUCGAACGGCAGCACGGGAGCAAUCCUGGUGGCGAGUGGCGAACGGGUGAGUAAUGUAUCGGAACGUACCUUUCAGUGGGGGAUAACGUAGCGAAAGUUACGCUAAUACCGCAUAUUCUGUGAGUAGGAAAGCAGGGGAUCGCAAGACCUUGCGCUGAUUGAGCGGCCGAUAUCAGAUUAGCUAGUUGGUGAGGUAAAGGCUCACCAAGGCGACGAUCUGUAGCGGGUCUGAGAGGAUGAUCCGCCACACUGGAACUGAGACACGGUCCAGACUCCUACGGGAGGCAGCAGUGGGGAAUUUUGGACAAUAGGGCGGCAAGCCUGAUCCAGCCACUGCCGCCGUGAGUGAAGAAAGG
This 389-nucleotide ribosomal RNA is filed under the name uncultured bacterium. RNAcentral describes it as "bacterial SSU rRNA". It matches the Rfam family "Bacterial small subunit ribosomal RNA", at positions 30 to 415 of the family's 1533-position model. The record is from RNAcentral.